Molecule: ribosomal RNA, 257 nt
Filed under: uncultured bacterium
Lineage: Bacteria
Description: partial 16S ribosomal RNA
Rfam family: Bacterial small subunit ribosomal RNA
Source: RNAcentral
CGGGACGGGUGAGUAACGCGUGGGUAACCUGCCUUAUACAGGGGGAUAACAGUCAGAAAUGGCUGCUAAUACCGCAUAAGCGCACAGAGCUGCAUGGCUCAGUGUGAAAAACUCCGGUGGUAUAAGAUGGACCCGCGUUGGAUUAGCUAGUUGGUGGGGUAACGGCCCACCAAGGCGACGAUCCAUAGCCGGCCUGAGAGGGUGAACGGCCACAUUGGGACUGAGACACGGCCCAGACUCCUACGGGAGGCAGCAUG